Molecule: ribosomal RNA, 520 nt
Filed under: uncultured Glomus
Lineage: Eukaryota; Fungi; Glomeromycota; Glomeromycetes; Glomerales; Glomeraceae
Description: SSU rRNA
Rfam family: Eukaryotic small subunit ribosomal RNA
Source: RNAcentral
AGCAGCCGCGGUAAUUCCAGCUCCAAUAGCGUAUAUUAAAGUUGUUGCAGUUAAAAAGCUCGUAGUUGAAUUUCGAGAUCAAAUUGUUGGUCGUGCCUCGGUACGCACUGGCAUUAUUGGUUUCUCCCUUCUGAAGAACCUUGAUGUCAUUAAUUUGGUGUCUUGGGGAAUCAGGACCGUUACUUUGAAAAAUUAGAGUGUUUAAAGCAGGCUCACGCUUGAAUACAUUAGCAUGGAAUAAUGAAAUAGGACGUUUGAUUCUAUUUUGUUGGUUUCUAGGACCGACGUAAUGAUUAAUAGGGAUAGUUGGGGGCAUUAGUAUUCAAUUGUCAGAGGUGAAAUUCUUGGAUUUAUUGAAGACUAACUACUGCGAAAGCAUUUGCCAAGGAUGUUUUCAUUAAUCAAGAACGAAAGUUAGGGGAUCGAAGACGAUCAGAUACCGUCGUAGUCUUAACCAUAAACUAUGCCGACUAGGGAUCGGAUGAUGUUAAUUUUUUAAUGACUCAUUCGGCGCCUUACG